CUAGUUGGUGAGGUGACGGCCCACCAAGGCGACGAUCGGUAGCCGACCUGAGAGGGUGAUCGGCCACAUUGGAACUGAGAGACGGCCCAGACUCCUACGGGAGGCAGCAGUGGGGAAUAUUGCACAAUGGGGGAAACCCUGAUGCAGCGACGCCGCGUGGAGGAAGAAGGUCUUCGGAUUGUAAACUCCUGUUGUUGAGGAAGAUAAUGACGGUACUCAACAAGGAAGUGACGGCUAACUACGUGCCAGCAGCCGCGGUAAAACGUAGGUCACAAGCGUUGUCCGGAAUUACUGGGUGUAAAGGGAGCGCAGGCGGGAAGACAAGUUGGAAGUGAAAUCUAUGGGCUCAACCCAUAAACUGCUUUCAAAACUGUUUCUCUUGAGUAGUGCAGAGGUAGGCGGAAUUCCCGGUGUAGCGGUGGAAUGCGUAGAUAUCGGGAGGAACACCAGUGGCGAAGGCGGCCUACUGGGCACCAACUGACGCUGAGGCUCGAAAGUGUGGGUAGCAAACAGGAUUAGAUACCCUGGUAGUCCACACCGUAAACGAUGAUUACUAGGUGUUGGAGGAUUGACCCCUUCAGUGCCGCAGUUAACACAAUAAGUAAUCCACCUGGGGAGUACGACCGCAAGGUUGAAACUCAAAGGAAUUGACGGGGGCCCGCACAAGCAGUGGAGUAUGUGGUUUAAUUCGACGCAACGCGAAGAACCUUACCAAGUCCUGACAUCCUGCGACGCACAUAGAAAUAUGUGUUUCCUUCGGGACGCAGAGACAGGUGGUGCAUGGUUGUCGUCAGCUCGUGUCGUGAGAUGUUGGGUUAAGUCCCGCAACGAGCGCAACCCUUACUGUCAGUUACUACGCAAGAGGACUCUGGCAGGACUGCCGUUGACAAAACGGAGGAAGGUGGGGAUGACGUCAAAUCAUCAUGCCCUUUAUGACUUGGGCUACACACGUACUACAAUGGCGUUAAACAAAGAGAAGCAAGACCGCGAGGUGGAGCAAAACUCAGAAACAACGUCCCAGUUCGGACUGCAGGCUGCAACUCGCCUGCACGAAGUCGGAAUUGCUAGUAAUCGUGGAUCAGCAUGCCACGGUGAAUACGUUCCCGGGCCUUGUACACACCGCCCGUCACACCAUGAGAGCCGGGGGGACCCGAAGUCGGUAGUCUAACCGCAAGGAGGACGCCGCCGAAGGUAAAACUGGUGAUUGGGGUGAAGUCGUAACAAGGUAGCCGUAGGAGAACCUGCGGCUG
This 1250-nucleotide ribosomal RNA is filed under the name metagenome. RNAcentral's name for it is "bacterial SSU rRNA". It matches the Rfam family "Bacterial small subunit ribosomal RNA", at positions 245 to 1520 of the family's 1533-position model. The record is from RNAcentral.